GGAUCCUGAAGGAGCAGCAGCCAGUGCUACUCAGUAGCUGCCACGGAGACAACUCUCCAGCUCUUCGCUUGCUUUUUUUGGUCUAAGACUGGGCUGGGAGCUUCUACUGACCACAAGAGGAAAAGCUAACCUAAAGCAGACAGAGGUUAACUUCUGAAAAUCCAGGAGAGGAUACAGGCUCACCAGCAGAAGCAUGUAGAAGCAAGGACAGAGUGUGAAAACCGCCUGGGGUAACCUAAGACGCAGCAGAGCUCAAACAGCUUCUACCAGUCUCUCCAGGUCCGAGGAUCGAAAUCUGCUAAUAACUAAGUUCUGUACUGUCGAGUUCCAGGAAAAGAUGCCAUUAUCCUACCAGAUUUUCCCAUGACUGAAGUGACACUGGACACCUUUAACUGUGGAGACACGGCUCUCCCUGGAUGCCCACCUCUACAGGUAGGAUGCAGAGCGCACACUGCAGAGGUGCUCUCCUGGGAUGCCCACUAAAGUCAUGCCCCUGAGCACUCCAAGAAAUCAGUGGUUUCUUCUCUGCCAUGGCUUUGUCUUUUGAAAACUGCUAUAUAAACUGGAAUGGAAUAUAAGCACAGUACUGGCUUCUGACACGGCAUAAAACUGUUAA
This is a long non-coding RNA of Peromyscus eremicus (cactus mouse), 616 nucleotides long. RefSeq lists it as uncharacterized. Lineage: Eukaryota; Metazoa; Chordata; Mammalia; Rodentia; Cricetidae. The record is from RefSeq and is a predicted model, not a curated record. The transcript has 3 exons.